UUUCUCAAAGUUUUCCCGCAUUUUUAUGGUGAACAGAUUUUACAAAGAGAGAAGAAACUGUCUCAGUUCCAAACACAGAUUUUGAAUCAUUGCCUGAAGAGACAAACGUUUGCUGGGCAUCUACCUGUGGCUUUUAAGAAUGAACUGAAAUAUCUAUUAACCUACACCAGGGAACGUUUUUUUGAAUUAUGGAAGGUUAGCCAUCCAAGUACUGUUUAUCCAGGAGCAAUUAUUAAAACUAGAGAUGAAGAAGCAAUUGAUGAACCAAAGCUAAAAGAUUCAAAUCCUUUGAAGUGGCCGGAAAGAAAUGUUCUACAGAACUUGGAAAAUUCUGAGAAGAUUAAGCAAAGAACAAGAGUUUCUGAACAGCUGCUGGGCCUUAAAAAUGGCCAGAAGGACUCCGCCUUACUUGAUGUAAGUACUUCAGUGCUUAAGUACUUCACUGCAGAAGGCUUGCCUGUUGGAGAGCUGCAGCCCUUACACAUUCCAAAAAGGUAGAGUAAAAUCCUUGUCUUGAACAUGCAACCCUGCAGUUGACUCAGUUGAGAAUCUUAAGUAGCUACAAGUUCUAGUUCUCCUGUUGGAACAUAAUUUCUGCUGGCAGCAUUCAGGCGUCGAUACUGAUGUUGUAAGCAUCAUUUUCGAACGGCGUGGUCUUUUGAAGCACCUCAAAUAAUUGAACAGGUACUGGUUCUAAUAUCUGUAUUUGAAGUCUAAGCGUCACCUGCAAACUCCGACUUUCUGUGUUGAGCCAAGGUGGCGCAGUGGUUAAAUGCAGCACUGCAGGCUACUG
Non-coding RNA from Thamnophis sirtalis, 793 nucleotides. The record is from RefSeq and is a predicted model, not a curated record. Lineage: Eukaryota; Metazoa; Chordata; Lepidosauria; Squamata; Natricidae.